AGGAGAGCCCACCCAGAUCCUAGGGACAAACCCAUUCUUUCCUGCUUCAUUCCCGUCAAAGAUUUAAGUAGCAGUAAUGACAACAGCACAUGCUUUGAAGACUUCAAUCAACAGCCAGCAAGAAGCCUGUAUCCUUUGUCACAGAGCCACCCAGGGAAUGAGUUCUGCCAAGAAACCAAGCAAGCUUCUUUCUCAGUUGAGACUCCAGAUCUGAACACAGCCCAGGCAACACCUUCACUGCAGCCUUUCGAGAUCCUAAGCUGAUUCAAGCAUUGAGUUGUGGAAACCUGGCAGGUGAUAUUAAUUAUUCAUACCGCAUGAUUAAGGAUUUUGAAGUCAGAGAUUCACCUGCAAUAUUUGGAAUACCAUUGGAGGUCUACAGCAACACAGCAUUUAUAUAGCAGCUGGUGCUAGUCAAAGCUAAUGAUAGAAUUUUAGGUUAAUAAAAAGACCCCCAACUGAGCAUA
Molecule: long non-coding RNA, 467 nt
Organism: Ochotona princeps (American pika)
Lineage: Eukaryota; Metazoa; Chordata; Mammalia; Lagomorpha; Ochotonidae
Exons: 3
Source: RefSeq, a predicted model, not a curated record